UUAAGCGACUAAGCGUACACGGUGGAUGCCCUGGCAGUCAGAGGCGAUGAAGGACGUGCUAAUCUGCGAAAAGCGCCGGCGAGGUGAUAUGAACCUUUGACCCGGCGAUGUCCGAAUGGGGAAACCCAGUGCAAUCCGUUGCACUAUCGUUAACUGAAUACAUAGGUUAACGAGGCGAACCGGGGGAACUGAAACAUCUAAGUACCCCGAGGAAAAGAAAUCAACCGAGAUUCCCCCAGUAGCGGCGAGCGAACGGGGAGCAGCCCGGAGUCUGAAUCAGCUUGUGUGUUAGUGGAACGGUCUGGAAAGUCCGACGGUACAGGGUGAUAGUCCCGUACACGAAAGCACACAUGCUGUGAACUCGAAGAGUAGGGCGGGACACGUGGUAUCCUGUCUGAAUAUGGGGGGACCAUCCUCCAAGGCUAAAUACUCCUGACUGACCGAUAGUGAACCAGUACCGUGAGGGAAAGGCGAAAAGAACCCCGGCGAGGGGAGUGAAAAAGAACCUGAAACCGUGUACGUACAAGCAGUGGGAGCCUCUUUAUGGGGUGACUGCGUACCUUUUGUAUAAUGGGUCAGCGACUUAUAUUCUGUAGCAAGGUUAACCGUAUAGGGGAGCCGAAGGGAAACCGAGUCUUAACUGGGCGUUAAGUUGCAGGGUAUAGACCCGAAACCCGGUGAUCUAGCCAUGGGCAGGUUGAAGGUUGGGUAACACUAACUGGAGGUCCGAACCGACUAAUGUUGAAAAAUUAGCGGAUGACCUGUGGCUGGGGGUGAAAGGCCAAUCAAACCGGGAGAUAGCUGGUUCUCCCCGAAAGCUAUUUAGGUAGCGCCUCGUGAACUCAUCUUCGGGGGUAGAGCACUGUUUCGGCUAGGGGGCCAUCCCGGCUUACCAACCCGAUGCAAACUACGAAUACCGAAGAAUGUUAUCACGGGAGACACACGGCGGGUGCUAACGUCCGUCGUGAAGAGGGAAACAACCCAGACCGCCAGCUAAGGUCCCAAAGUCAUGGUUAAGUGGGAAACGAUGUGGGAAGGCACAGACAGCCAGGAUGUUGGCUUAGAAGCAGCCAUCAUUUAAAGAAAGCGUAAUAGCUCACUGGUCGAGUCGGCCUGCGCGGAAGAUGUAACGGGGCUAAACCAUGCACCGAAGCUGCGGCAGCGACGCUUAUGCGUUGUUGGGUAGGGGAGCGUUCUGUAAGCCGUUGAAGGUGUCCUGUGAGGGGUGCUGGAGGUAUCAGAAGUGCGAAUGCUGACAUAAGUAACGAUAAAGCGGGUGAAAAGCCCGCUCGCCGGAAGACCAAGGGUUCCUGUCCAACGUUAAUCGGGGCAGGGUGAGUCGACCCCUAAGGCGAGGCCGAAAGGCGUAGUCGAUGGGAAACAGGUUAAUAUUCCUGUACUUGGUGUUACUGCGAAGGGGGGACGGAGAAGGCUAUGUCAGCCGGGCGACGGUUGUCCCGGUUUAAGCAUGUAGGCGGAGGUUCCAGGUAAAUCCGGUACCUUGUUAACGCUGAGGUGUGAUGACGAGGCACUACGGUGCUGAAGUGAUAAAUGCCCUGCUUCCAGGAAAAGCCUCUAAGCAUCAGGUAACACGAAAUCGUACCCCAAACCGACACAGGUGGUCAGGUAGAGAAUACCAAGGCGCUUGAGAGAACUCGGGUGAAGGAACUAGGCAAAAUGGUGCCGUAACUUCGGGAGAAGGCACGCUGAUAUGUAGGUGAAGUCCCUGCGGACGGAGCUGAAAUCAGUCGAAGAUACCAGCUGGCUGCAACUGUUUAUUAAAAACACAGCACUGUGCAAACACGAAAGUGGACGUAUACGGUGUGACGCCUGCCCGGUGCCGGAAGGUUAAUUGAUGGGGUUAGCGGCAACGCGAAGCUCUUGAUCGAAGCCCCGGUAAACGGCGGCCGUAACUAUAACGGUCCUAAGGUAGCGAAAUUCCUUGUCGGGU
RNAcentral lists this ribosomal RNA (1951 nucleotides) under human gut metagenome. RNAcentral describes it as "bacterial LSU rRNA". It matches the Rfam family "Bacterial large subunit ribosomal RNA", at positions 1 to 1977 of the family's 2925-position model. The record is from RNAcentral.